Non-coding RNA from Pelodiscus sinensis (Chinese soft-shelled turtle), 2638 nucleotides. Lineage: Eukaryota; Metazoa; Chordata; Testudines; Trionychidae. The record is from RefSeq and is a predicted model, not a curated record.
ACCUUAGGGUUUAGUUUAUUUCCAGAAAAUCCAUGUGUAAAAUCAAGUAAUAGCUCGGGUGGAGGCUUUAUGCAACAGUUGUAUGUGCCUCAGGCUAGUUUCCAUGUCAUUAUUAAUUUUUGCGACAUGGCUAGUAUAUAUUGGAUGCUUGAAAAUAAGAAAUCUUAUUUGUGAUAAAUGUACGUUUUGUGAUGUAGAUACUUGCCACUUAAAGUCAGGCAAAAUAGUGGUAAUAUAUACCAAAUUAUUGUCUAAUAACUUUUUGCCAUUGCCAGCCUUAGCUACAUUAAAUGGGCACUUCGAUGAUAAAAGGCAAGAUGGAUUUUGUUCUGUGUACGUACAACACCUGGCACAAUGGGCUCCUGCUUUAUGACUGAUGUUCCUAAGAGCUACAUGCAUCUGACGAAGUGGGUCUUUGCCCACGAAAGCUUAUGCUCCUACACUUCAGUUAGUCUAUAAGGUGCCACAGGACUCCUCGUCACUCCUAAGAGCUACAGUAAUACAAACAAUAAAUAAAUGCAUACCUAAGCCAUCCAGAUUACCUCAUUUUCUUUCCCCACACUUUUUUCUCCCCAAAACAACAAAAGCCAGAUACUUUGAAGACUGAACAUUUUAUAAUGUUUCUUUCUAACUACGACUUCAGACAUACUGCUAAGGCAGCACGGGGAAGCUUGCACUAUCACUGCUUGUUCUACCACUGUAACAUAAAACUUGCUUAUAAGACAGAAUGAGAAUUUAAAUGCUAACAAUAAAUGAAGAGAACAGUCAUGCUGGUGGGUGUUAAUUUCAGACAACUUCUAGUUCUAUCAUCAAAACAGAGAUUUUGGCAAUUACAUAUCGUCUGGUAGUACUAGGCUGACUGCAGGUGAAGGUGGUUUUUGUCACUGGUAGUUCUGCACACUAUAUUUAAACAUCCUAAUUGCAUACAUGAUUGUGUUUAAUGAGGUGAUCACUUAAGCAAGCUAGUUCAUGCAUUUACAUUAAGUAACCCUUCUCUUGUGCUUUCCUUUUUUAAAGUGACAGUGUCCAAGUUAGCAGACCCUAAAAUUAAUUAAUUAAUGUGCUGCUUAUUUGAUUAGACUAGGGAUGUGACAACGAACACAAAGCUUCACGGUUACAGGCAAGCGGGUCUCCUCUCCACCCCCAGCUGCUGCCUGUGUAUCAGAGGCAACAGCAUGGGCAGGAGGGAAGAGUAGACGGCAGCUGCUGCUCGCAGGGAACCAACUUGGUACCAUCUGCAGACGUGCACUCUCUACGGCCGUGGUCACCCACAGAGAGCGGGAAGAAAAAGCGCCCCGCCCGGUGUGUUUGCCACGUGCAUGUGGCUGCAUUCAGCCCCUCCCCCAUUUCACCCACGCGCCGGCACAGUGACCGCUGUUCGCCGUGCCACAGGUCUCGCGGCUUGUCUAGAUUAGAACGCUCUGCCCAACGGCCCUUCCCUCGCGCGGCGGUUGAGGCGGGGCGCUCCCAGCCCAACGGCCUCUGAGGAGCCAGUUACCGCUCAGGGCUGACACGCCGGAAGCGGCCGGGCGGGAAGAGGCGAGGCCCGCCGCGCACUCACCAGAUACUCGGGGUACUCGUACAUGGUCUGCUAAAAAUAUCUUCCAGAGUCAGACAACAGCUCAAGGCUGAGAGAUACCUAACCUAAGACGACCCUCCUAUGUGACAAGUGACAUCCUCAAAAGCCUGGUCGGAGGAACUAUAACCCCAAGCAUCUGCCAAGGCACAUGUGGAAGGAUUAUGUGGACUUCAUAUCGGAGUACAAGGAGCUCAGAAAAACUGAAUGUUAGUAACUAUGCACCGUGGCUCCUUUGCUACAGAAACAACAAGCAAAAUGCAGGAUUUCUAUUGACUUCAAAACAGACACCACAGAACCCUCCACACUUUCCAGGUUGGUCUUUCCCCUUAUUUUCAGUGCUUUAAGUAAGGUAGUUAUUGCUAAUUAGCAACUAAAAAAAAUCAAAAUAGUUAUACAGUACUAACAUAAAAGGAUAAGCUCAGGAUCAUGAUUCAGGGGCUUGGGAUUUCCACUACAGAAAAAUAUAGAAAAAGAGAAACAUGAAUGCUUCAAGGGAGUACACCUUGAGAUUUUUUUAACAUUUAAAUUUGAAAUUUUCUAUUUCAUAAUAUUCACAGAUACAUACACGUAAUUUAAUUUUAGCAGGGCAAAAUACAGGUCAUAUAUUAUGUGUAAUAGUAGACACAUAUAUAUGUAUUAAAACUCUAAGAAUUGCAUACUUAAAAUGUUUUCCCCCCUCAUAAACAAUGGGAACCAGUCAAAUUGUUAACUAAUGUUGACUUUUAUUAUAUGGGCUACUAUAUAUGGGAUCAGAAUUGGCAAUUAAAAAAAGACACAAUUUUUUUCUUUUGCCCUGCCUAAACUAUUGACUAAGAGAACACCUCCCAUCCUUCCCCAGCAUAGACUUAAGCCUGCAAACAGCCCGAGUGGGAAUAUUAGAUAGUUUCUACAAAUUACUAUGGGCCUCUACUUUAUCUUUCUGGAGCCAUAUACUUUAGCUCAAUGUUUCUCAACCAGUGGUAGGAGUACCCUAAGGGGUAUCUGAGAGAAGUCUGGGGAGGGGAGGGGGGCAGGGCAGGUAUGUCAACACAACUGAAACUUGGAGAAGACUGAAUUUUU